RNAcentral lists this ribosomal RNA (347 nucleotides) under uncultured bacterium. RNAcentral's name for it is "bacterial SSU rRNA". It matches the Rfam family "Bacterial small subunit ribosomal RNA", at positions 30 to 378 of the family's 1533-position model. The record is from RNAcentral.
AUUGAACGCUGGCGGAAUGCUUUACACAUGCAAGUCGAACGGCAGCACGGGGCAACCUGGUGGCGAGUGGCGAACGGGUGAGUAAUACAUCGGAACGUGCCCAAUCGUGGGGGAUAACGUAGCGAAAGUUACGCUAAUACCGCAUACGCCCUGAGGGGGAAAGUGGGGGACCGCAAGGCCUCACGUUAUACGAGCGGCCGAUGUCGGAUUAGCUAGUUGGUGGGGUAAAGGCCUAACCAAGGCGACGAUCCGUAGCGGGUCUGAGAGGAUGAUCCCCCACACUGGUACUGAGACACGGACCAGACUCCUAACGGGAGGCAGCAGUAAGGAUAUUGGACAAUGGAGGC